RNAcentral lists this ribosomal RNA (484 nucleotides) under uncultured bacterium. Its description in RNAcentral is "partial 16S ribosomal RNA". It matches the Rfam family "Bacterial small subunit ribosomal RNA", at positions 30 to 507 of the family's 1533-position model. The record is from RNAcentral.
AUUGAACGCUGGCGGCAGGCCUAACACAUGCAAGUCGAGCGGAUGAAGGGAGCUUGCUCCUGGAUUCAGCGGCUGACGGGUGAGUAAUGCCUAGGAAUCUGCCUGGUAGUGGGGGAUAACGUCCGGAAACGGGCGCUAAUACCGCAUACGUCCUGAGGGAGAAAGUGGGGGAUCUUCGGACCUCACGCUAUCAGAUGAGCCUAGGUCGGAUUAGCUAGUUGGUGGGGUAAAGGCCUACCAAGGCGACGAUCCGUAACUGGUCUGAGAGGAUGAUCAGUCACACUGGAAGUGAGACACGGUCCAGACUCCUACGGGAGGCAGCAGUGGGGAAUAUUGGACAAUGGGCGAAAGCCUGAUCCAGCCAUGCCGCGUGUGUGAAGAAGGUCUUCGGAUUGUAAAGCACUUUAAGUUGGGAGGAAGGGCAGUAAGUUAAUACCUUGCUGUUUUGACGUUACCAACAGAAUAAGCACCGGCUAACUUCGUG